CCUACGGGUGACAGCAGUGAGGAAUAUUGGUCAAUGGACGAGAGUCUGAACCAGCCAAGUAGCGUGAAGGAUGACUGCCCUAUGGGUUGUAAACUUCUUUUAUAUGGGAAUAAACUGUUCCACGUGUGGGAUUUUGUAUGUACCAUAUGAAUAAGGAUCGGCUAACCCCGUGCCAGCAGCCGCGCUAAUACGGAGGAUCCGAGCGUUAUUCGGAUUUAUCGGGUUUAAAGGGAGCGUAGGUGGAUUGUUAAGUCAGUUGUGAAAGUUUGCGGCUCAACCGUAAAAUUGCAGUUGAAACUGGCAGUCUUGAGUACAGUAGAGGGGGGCGGAAUUCGUGGUGUAGCGGUGAAAUGCGUAGAUAUCACGAAGAACUCCGAUGGCGAAGGCAGUUCACUGGACUGCAACUGACGCUGAGGCUCGAAAGUGUGGGUAGCAAACAGGAUUAGAUACCCUUGUAGUC
Molecule: ribosomal RNA, 460 nt
Filed under: uncultured bacterium
Lineage: Bacteria
Description: partial 16S ribosomal RNA
Rfam family: Bacterial small subunit ribosomal RNA
Source: RNAcentral